RNAcentral lists this long non-coding RNA (2937 nucleotides) under Apis mellifera (honey bee). RNAcentral's name for it is "uncharacterized LOC102654837". The record is from RNAcentral. Lineage: Eukaryota; Metazoa; Arthropoda; Insecta; Hymenoptera; Apidae.
CAACGAAUCGCCAAUUAUCACCUCGAUAAGAAUUAAUUCGUGAAAUCACUCGUCACUCUUCUUCGAUAUUUAAUUCGAUGUUUAAUUCGCAAAUUACUUUGCAAACUUUCAACAACAAGAAUUCUAUUCCAACCACCGUCAAUCUUUAAAAUCCUUCUCCUCGAUACGAAGUAACAAAAUGUUUGGUUUGUUCGGAGAGUGUUAAUUUCGUUUUUUCGCACGAGCGUCGCUACAGUCGGACAGUUUAUCCAGCCAACUUCAUUCCAAACCGUGUGUCAUCGUCGUCGUUACGCGUAUUCCGAGAGUCGCAAUUCGUUUGAUUCCGUGCGAUCGCGUUUUAAUUAUUUCAUUUUUACCGAGAAGAGGAAGAAGAGGAAGAAGAAGGACGUUAAACGCGUGAAAGUUGACGAAGACAAAAAAAAAAUAAAGCAAACGACUCGACAAAUUUCGAUUACGUAAGAUCGAAUUUUCUCUCGAAAGAAAAAUAUAACGACAACUGAACGACUGAGUAACAAAGUAUUCGUGUUCGGUCAGCAAUUGAAGCGGCGUGAAGCAAUAUCCUCCCAUCGAAGGUUCUUCUCGGCAAGAAACAAGCUAGCUGGAGGGGGCAAGGUGUCGCUUCGCUUGGGCGAGAUGAUUGACAAGUAUGCAAUUCUGGGUGAGGCAAAGGACGCGGCAGAGCGAAAAGUAGCGAAGCUAUUCUGCUGCGGUUGGUGUUUCCUCCUCCUCCUCCUCCUCCUCCUUCGUCGCCGCCGCCGCCUCUGCUGCUCGAGACGCCAGACUCGGCCACCCUCCCCCUCCCUCCCUCCCUCCUUCCCCCCGUGUCGGGCAUAUCAUUAAUCUUGCCGUGUUUUCUCGCGCACUCGGAUGUGGAUUUAGAGGCGAGACUCGGCCAAGAUCCAUGGAAACGUAGGUGAGCGCGUCCCGAAACGGAGCCGGGGGCCGUUUGUCUUCAUUCGAGGAACUCGAUCGAAGGCCUUCCCUUCCGGUUUCAUUCCGUCCACCGGAUGUCGCGGUGCGCAAUUCGAUUUCCUCUUCUGGUGGAAGAGGAGGAAUCCAUGCAAUUUUCGUGCAUCGGAAAAGUUUGUUCGGGUUCGUUUGGUGAAAUUUGGAAUUUUUUUUUUUCUUUUUUUUUUUCUUGGUGCGUUCGACGAAAAUAAUGGUGUAAUUGUUCCGUGUGACGAAAAUAAGAUUUGAAUUUAUUCGCGCGGAGGCGAGUUAACGAUCCCGACGCCUCUGAUGAAGAAAUCCUCAACGUCGAGAGAGAGAGAGAGAGAGAAAGAGAGGGGCACUAAGGAUACUUUGAUGAUGUUUGCGUAUUAACUAACGAUCCUUCCACGCCACCUGUGCGAAUAAUUCCUUGAUGGAAGGAAAUUGCGGAUGAAAUUGAUGCGCGUGCCGGUUUGCGUUAACGAGCAAGCCCGCCAUUUUUGUGAUUUGGAAUCGAGAGAUAGGUUAGGGCGCAAGUUGGAAAUUUUGCUCGAGUCGAGGGGCGCAUGCGCACUUCUCCUUCCCACGCGCCAUCUUUAUUCGCCAAGAUCAAGUUGAAAAAGAUACGUAAUCUUUCUAAUCUUACCGACAAUUUUAUUUUUAAGAUCCUAGGUUAUGGGGGAUCCUAAAAAAAGGAAAAGUUUGGUUAAAAUUAAAUUGAAAAAUUGUGUGUAUAAUUACCUUAACCAUUACGUUACCUUAAGGGGAAAUGAUAUAAAUAAUUGAACGAUCAGGUGUUGUAAAAAAAUACAAAACUUUUUUACUUGAAAUUUCUCUCAAAAAUUAUAUAUCCUGCGAAUACGCGACGAGUGAUUAAAAAAAAGAAGAAAAAAGAAAUGAUCGUGGUUGGGACGACGUCGAUAUGGGAUAAAAACGGUGAACACGAACAUUUUCCUCGUUAAUCAUAAAGGCGCUUCCAAGUAUGCUUUUUUUUCCAACUUUUCUCCAUUAUAUUGUAUACAAUCGUGCUCGAUUUCGCUCUGAAUUGCAGAUUUUCCGUUUUCUUAAUUGCAACUCGGUCGGUCCUCCCCUUUUUUUCUUCUUUUUUUUUUUCUUAUCAUCCAAUCAAUCUACAAUGCGCCACGAUUUCGUACGAAGAUUAUUUAAAAAGUUAAACAAAACUCGUAAUCGAUCGGCCAUCUCGAUGGCACAAUAAUUUCCUAUAAGACGAACGAAUUAAUUUAUAUUCCAUUUACAUAGAUAAAAUAUUUCUAUUUACAUAGAUUAUUAUUUACAUAGAGAUUGGCGCGAUAAGAAUGAUUUAUCGAUUUUUUUUUCGCAGUUGCAAGGGGAAUUUGAACGUUACAAUAUUUACAAUAAUUAAAUAAAAUAUUUACAAAUAUUACAAGAUUUUUUUUUCCAUAUAAAUAAGCAGUAACGAUGAACAAAUAAUUUUUGAAUCGAUCUCUGCGUCAUCCUUGACGCAGAUCGAAUUAAAAAUUUAUUCAUACGAUUAAAUUAACUAUAAAAUAUAAUCGUGUUAAAUUUAUCAUAAGAAGAAAAAUACCUGCUUUUUUAUCAUUUUAGAUAUAUAAAUAAUUUCCAGAAGAAUCCUAAAAAUAACUAUUCUAAUCGGAAUAUUCCAUCGCAUUCCAAGAAUAAAAUUCCACUAGAAAAAAAAAAAUAUUGAAAGAAUAUUUUUUCCAUAAUUAGCGUUCGUUGAAAAACAAUUUUUUGCGCAGCUCGUAUUAUAAUUGGAUAAUUCCCUCCGGGAAGAAAUCCAAAAAAAAAAAAAACUUGAAUCCAAGUCGAAAAAAAAAAAGAAAAAAAAAAAAAACAAUCAAAGAUAAGUCUCGCUUAUAAUCUCGAUAAUAAUCUCUAGAAGCCUUUUCAACUCCGUCGCAUUCCACGCGGCACACGCGCGCGCAAUUUCGCACACGAAGGAGGAAACGCACAAACAAGCGUGUAAAGAGAUAGAGAGAGAGAGAGAGAGAUAGAGAAAAAACG